Molecule: long non-coding RNA, 3887 nt
Organism: Carassius auratus (goldfish)
Lineage: Eukaryota; Metazoa; Chordata; Actinopteri; Cypriniformes; Cyprinidae
Exons: 3
Source: RefSeq, a predicted model, not a curated record
UCAAGAAUGAAGUACAACAUUUGUGCAUGGAAAUAGAGCACUUUAAGUGCAUUAUGUAUGUGCCCUUGUUUUUCCUCCUGGGUAUGAGAAUAAUUUUAAUUAAAUGAUAAAGUAGAGCUAUCAGUUGGCAAAAUACUUAGAACAUAUUUUUGAAGAAUUUCAAAUUUUACCUGUUGGAAAGCAGAAGAUAAUACUUGCCUUCUUGAUCAGUUUUUCUGUGUUUCCUGCAGAUGCAGAAAAUCCUGACUGUCGCUACAAUCAACAGAGAUCCAGCAGGAGCAGAAAUCAACACUAUCAGAGAUACAAAGUCUGGAGCAUGUGAAGGAGAGUGAAAGAGAGACAUUAAUGAGAGAGUCACAUGACCCACAUUCACCACCGAACACACCAGUGAACAAUUCUGCUGUGAUGAAGAUGAUGAUGAUGAUGAAGAUGAUGAACAGUUUGAAGAGGUACUGCUGAUGUCAGGAACUGGCAGACGAGCUGAAAACAUGAGAGAAUAAUAGGAAUAUUUUCAGCAUUGUGAAUCUGUGUAAUACAUUUUGUAUUGAGUGAGUGUUUAGUGUGUUAACGGUUGCUGAAUGUGACUCUCAUCUCCAAUUAUAAAAUAAAUAAAUAUUUGACUAUUUAAAUAGAAUAUGUGAGCAUUUGAACAAAUGAUCUCUACUCACCAUAGACAGAAACGUUGAAUGUUUUAGAUGUCUGAUUCACUCCAUGUAUAUCUAGUUGAUAGACUCCAGUGUGUUGAGUUGUGAUGUUGGUGAUGGUCAGAGAUCCAGUUUGAUUGUCCAGCUUCAGUCUGACUCUGAAUCUCUCGUCAGGACCAUUAGAUGUGAUGACAAUGUGUUUCCUUUUCUUUAUUUUAGCUAUGGGAGACUUUCCAUCUCCAAAUUUCCACAGAAUGUCAUCGCCUUCAUGUAUUUCAGUAAGAUCAGUGUAUAAAGUGACAGAAUCUCCCUCCAUCACUGACACUGAUUCACCAAACACAACUGAAUAAAAAUAAAAAUAUUUUACACAGAUUAAAGCUUCUUAUGGUUUAACAAGCCUGAAAUCUGCUUCAUCCAAAUGUGAAGUUGAGAACAACCGAAACAAAAAACAAAAUGUAAAAUAUCAACGGUCUUUCAAACAGCUAUUGUAAACUACCAACUGUUACCAAAAUAGAGAGAUGGUUGCAAUGGCGCUAUUUAAUAGAUUAAUCAUAUAUGUAUAUACAUAAUGCACAAAUCUGUACAUAAUGUUUCAAAACCAGAUCUUUUCAGAGAUUUAUUUUCUCUUAGUCUUAUCUAUUUGUUUUCAUGUUAUAAAUUUACAUGUAUGUAUAUAUGUUGCUAGAGCUCCUGAAAAACCACAAUACAUAAUGUAACAUCGUAUCUCUUCAAAGUGUAGAGGACAAUCUAUGUUUAAAUUGUAAAUGAUUUUUGACAUUAUUGUAUGAUAAUUAUUACAGAUCGGAUAUUUUGGAUAAUUUUUUUAAUAAAUGGGAGAUUUAGAUCAUUAGAUCACAUAUUUAUGACAUUUGAAGAUGUUCAUGAUAACUGCAGAUUUAUUUUUUAAAUCUGUAUUAUUAUUAUUAUUAUAAAAAGAAAAAAAAAGUGAAAUAUUUAAAGAAGUUCAGACUUUCUGAACAUUUACACUGCAGGGAUUUCCUUUAUUUUGUUUUUAUGAACUUUUCCAGGUCCUGUAAAUGUCAAUGAAAACUUCCUAACCCUAAUCCCAACAGUGUCUUGUAUUAUAUUCAUACACAAUUCACAAUUAUUUUGGUACAUAACAUUUUAUUAUCUUUAAUAUUCCAAAAUAUAAGAAAAAAAAACCUUGACAAUGAUUUUUUUUUAACUUACCAGUCAAACUCCAGCAGCACAAACAGAACAAGACAAACUUGUGAAACAUUUUCUUCAGUGGUUCAGUGUGUGAUCUAACAGCAGAACUGUUAAAGUGUUGUGUGAAUCCUCCCCUGACUGUGUUCGACCCUCCUAGUUCACAUCCUGCAUUUGAUAAGUGUUGGGCUCAUUACUCAAAAAAAAUAAAAUAUAUAUUACUCAUUACUAGUUACUAAUUUCAAAAGUAAUAUUAUUACUUAUUACUCCCAGCCAACAGUCUGGGGCACCGCUAUGGUUUCUGGACCCCCUGAACAGCAUAUUCACUCAGCCCUCUCCAUCGUCAGGCAGAGGCCUGGAAUCAUCCUAACCUUACACCCCCCAACCCCCCUCCACCCCCUUUACAGCGCCCCGUUAACAGUAAUUAGUUACACAUCCAGUUACAUUACCUUUCCAUUCCAUUCCAAAAAAAAUGGAAAUUGCAUAAUUUUUGCAGUCAGUGGAUCCAUGAAAUUUGCAGAUAAAUGAAGAGUACAUCUGGCUCAAACUGAUGGCAAGCCACAUAUUUUUAAGCUUCUGUUCCUCUGGGAAUCGCAACCUUAUCUUGUGGAGGGGUUUGAGUACCCGAAUGAUCCUAAGAGCUAUGUUGUCAGGGGUUAUAUGCCCACGGUAGGGUCUCCCAAGGCAAACAGGUCCUAGAUGACGGGUCAGACUAAGAGCAGUUCAGAAGCCCAUUAUGAAUUCUUAAAAAACGAGGACUGUGACGUCACGGCUGGGAGCUUGAAUACGAAUGCCUGGUGGCCGGGCCUCCCCUCAUGGGGCCCAGCCUGGCUUAGCCCGAAAGAGCAAUGUGGGGCCGACCUCCCAUGGACCCACCAUCUGCGAGAUGAAUCAUAAGGGGCUGGUGCAUUGUGGUUUGGGAAGCAGUCGAACGCAGGGGCCCCAACGACCUGAUCUCUGGAUAUGGACACUGGCCUUUGGGAUGUGGAAUGUCACCUCGCUGCCGGAGAAGGAGCCUGAGCUUGUGUGGGAGGUUGAGAGGUACCUACUGAAGAUAGUCGGCCUCACCUCCAUGCACAGCUUUGGUUCUUGAACCAAGUCCCUUGAGAUAGGCUGAACUCUCUACCACUCUGGAGAUGUCUGUGGUGAGAGGCGGCGGGUUGGUGUGGGGUUGCUCAUAGCUCCCCAGCUCGGUCGCCAUGUGUUUGAGUUUACCCCGGUGAACGAAAGGGUUGCUUCCUUGCACCUUUGGGUCGGGGAUAGGUCUCUCACUCUCAUUUGUGCUUAUGGGCCGAAUAGUAGUGUAGAGUACCCAGCCUUCUUGGAGUCUCUGGGAGGGGUGCUGCAAAGUGUACUGACCGGGGACUCUGUCAUUCUACUGGGAGACUUCAACCCUGACAUGGGCAGUGACAGGAACACCUGAAGGGGCAUGAUUGGGAGGAGUGGCCAUAAAAAAUAUAUGCUGCCCUGCCAGCACUAUUUGCAGUGGAGGUGGGGAGCUGUUGACCUCAAAGGGAUGUUGUGGGGGAGGUGGGGAGCUGUUGACCUCAAAGGGAUGUUGUGGGGCUGUCUUGGCUGACACGCCUCUGUAGCAUCGCGUGACAGUUGGGGACAGUGACUCUGGAAUGGCAGACCGGGGUGUCGGUCUCUAUUUUCAAGAAGGGGGACCGGAGGGUGUGUUACACCUACAGGGCGGUCACACUCCUCAGCCUUCCUGGAAAAGUCAAUGCCAGGGUGCUGGAGAGGAGAAUUUGGCCGAUAAUUGAACUUUGCAUUCAGGAGGAACAAUGCGUUUUUUGUCCUGGGCCAGCUUUAUACCCUCGUCGGGGUGCUUGAGGGUUCAUGGCAGUUUGCCCAACCAAUCCACAUGUGUUUUGUGGAUUUGGAAAAGGCAUUCAACCUUAUCCCAGCAGAAAGUAAGACUUGUUCCUGGUACAUGCUGGACUCCGACAGGGCUGCCCUUUAUCACCGACCCCUGGCUGCGCCUAGAAAUCCUGUCCAUAAAAAUAAUGAACAGGAUUUUUUAGCGCAGCCAGGGGCUAGAGGGCCUGUUUUGGGGACCACGUGAUUUCAUCU